CCAGCGGGCUUCCUGAGGAAUGUGAAGAGGACCAGGUCACCUGGGAUUUCUUCCUUCCUCAGAAUGUCUCUCCAAGUCAACAUCGCCUCUGAAUUUUCUAUUUCCUUUUGGCAAAUAAAAGAAAAAGUGAGGAAUGAAGCUCAGUGGUGUUUAGCAGUUUGGCCAGAUUCCACUCUGUCUGUUCCUGCGGUUGACUACUAGGAAGACAGACAAGAGGAUGACUGUGAAAUGGCCUACUUACAGGGUCUUGGUCCACAUAUUUAUCGACAAGACAAGCCCACCAAA
Symphalangus syndactylus (siamang) is the source of this 285-nucleotide long non-coding RNA. RefSeq lists it as uncharacterized. The record is from RefSeq and is a predicted model, not a curated record. NCBI's taxonomy places the organism in Eukaryota, Metazoa, Chordata, Mammalia, Primates, Hylobatidae.